GCGCCCGUAGCUCAAUUGGCAGAGCAGGACCCUUCUAAGGUCUCGGUUGGGGGUUCGAAUCCCUCCGGGCGUGCCA
This 76-nucleotide transfer RNA is filed under the name Microbulbifer sp. ZGT114. RNAcentral's name for it is "tRNA-Arg". It matches the Rfam family "tRNA". Rfam says of the family: Transfer RNA (tRNA) molecules are approximately 80 nucleotides in length. Their secondary structure includes four short double-helical elements and three loops (D, anti-codon, and T loops). Further hydrogen bonds mediate the characteristic L-shaped molecular structure. tRNAs have two regions of fundamental functional importance: the anti-codon, which is responsible for specific mRNA codon recognition, and the 3' end, to which the tRNAs corresponding amino acid is attached (by aminoacyl-tRNA synthetases). tRNAs cope with the degeneracy of the genetic code in two manners: having more than one tRNA (with a specific anti-codon) for a particular amino acid; and 'wobble' base-pairing, i.e. permitting non-standard base-pairing at the 3rd anti-codon position. RNAcentral also lists the same sequence under 1 other name. Lineage: Bacteria; Pseudomonadati; Pseudomonadota; Gammaproteobacteria; Cellvibrionales; Microbulbiferaceae. The record is from RNAcentral.